Molecule: ribosomal RNA, 58 nt
Filed under: Klossia razorbacki
Lineage: Eukaryota; Apicomplexa; Adeleidae
Description: small subunit ribosomal RNA
Source: RNAcentral
UAAGACAAUAAAACUACGGAUGUGUGGGAGCCUUUUUAACGCCUUGUCUGGUAUUACA